RNAcentral lists this ribosomal RNA (528 nucleotides) under Psychrobacter sp. 235-12. RNAcentral describes it as "partial small subunit ribosomal RNA". The record is from RNAcentral. Lineage: Bacteria; Pseudomonadati; Pseudomonadota; Gammaproteobacteria; Moraxellales; Moraxellaceae.
UACAGCUGUCUCAAACUAGGACCGAGUCUAACUUGCGACGCCGUCCGAAUUGUGUACGUUCAGCUCGCCAUUGUAAAUAUCGAACGAUCUUCUACUGCUCGCCGCCUGCCCACUCAUUAUGAAUCCUUANAUGGAUCAUCACCCCCUAUCGUGCCCUUUUGAGCAUAAUUAWGGCGUAUGCUGGAUGCCCUCUUUCCCCCGUCAAAUGACGAGAGCGAUAAUUNUACUCGGAUUCAGUCUAAUCGAUCUACCACCCCAUUUCCGGAUGGUACCGCUGYUAGACAUCGACCNGACUGUCCUACUAGUCGGUGUGGCCCUGACUCUGUGCCGGGCCUGAGGAUGCCCUCCGUCGUCACCCCUUAUAACCUGUUACCCCMUUUGGGACUAGGUCGGUACGGCGCACACACUUCUUCCGGAAAACCAACAUUUCGAGAAAUUCGUCACUUSUUCUGAGGUACCAAUUAUGGGUACCUGCUACUGNAAUCGACGUCUUAUUCGUGGCCGAUUGAGACACGGUCGUCGGCGCCA